Molecule: transfer RNA, 71 nt
Filed under: Fukomys damarensis (Damara mole-rat)
Lineage: Eukaryota; Metazoa; Chordata; Mammalia; Rodentia; Bathyergidae
Rfam family: tRNA
About the family: Transfer RNA (tRNA) molecules are approximately 80 nucleotides in length. Their secondary structure includes four short double-helical elements and three loops (D, anti-codon, and T loops).
Source: Rfam by way of RNAcentral
AGGGAUGUAGCGCAGCAGCAUAGCGUCUGCCUGGCAAGCAUAAGGUCCUGAGUUCGACCUCAGUAACCCCA